GCUUCUGGUGCUGUGGGGUCUAUUCACAGCUGUUGACGUGACCCAAGAGAAAACAUUGGAGACAGGAGGAGCAGAUGCCACUCUUCUCUGCCCAAACCAAACUCUCACUGACAUCAUGACAGUAGUAUGUCACAAAAUAAGAGGUAUAAGUGAGGGUCAUGAGUGUAGAGUUUCACAAGACUUUGAAACAAAUCAUACCAACAGCUCUUGUGACCCCAGAGUCACACUGCAGAUAGAGAAUGACAGAGUGUUUCUACACAUCACCAACAUACAACCAUCUGAUGAAGGGAACUACACCUGUGAUUGUACAUAUUAUAAAGGCAGUUCUGAUAUAAACAUACAUAUUUCUGUCAAUGGAAACCAAGUGCAACAGGCCACAGACAACAGUCUCUUCUAUUGGGGGAUGAUAACAGGUGUUGCAGCAUGUGUAGCUGCCCUGGUGUUUGGUGGCGUAAUCAUGAGAAAAAUUCAUCUCAGGAGAACACAGCUACAAGUGUCUGGAACCGUCAACGAGGUGCCACAACACUGCUUGCUGUUGCCUGUUAGUCAGAUGAAGGCAUCUGGGUCCUCAUUUAUAACCGUUGUGUACAUUUCACAAUAAAUAUCUGCUUGCAUAAUUUCAGAAAAGUCUGCACACGUUCAAAAAUAUUGAGAUGUAUAAACUUGGUGGUUGCCAUACAUAAGCAUGUUUCCUGUUAUAAGUCAGACCGUCCUGAACCUGUGCGCGCGUGAAUGAGAAUCUGCCUGAAAAACGGCCUUCAUUCACCAUUUAUAGUGACAAUAACGCCUUUUUUUGCUGUGUACUUUGGAAGUACUGGAAUUAUACCAUGGUAGUUUCCAAAUAGAAAUGGCGAGUUUGAUCAAAUGUCUCUGGAGGUGUUGGCAGAAUGUUUUAAACGUUUACAGUGACAUUUGCUGUAUUUGACAAUUUCUGAAGAAAAAAAACUAUUGCAAAUUGUUGGGGACCUCUAAACAGAUUGUUUGAAUUCAAUAAUGUAUUUUUCAUAUGCUGCACUGACCUCAAAUUCUGAAACAUUGUCUACUUGGAAACAAAUGACAACUAUAGUAUAGGCCUACUUACAGUGGUAUUCCACCCAGUGGUCAAAACCUGGUUUGAAAAGACGUCAGUAUGACAUCUUUUUAUGACGUCUUAUUCUGUCGCAAACUGGAUGAAAUAGGACAUUUUUUAACAGAUUUUUACUGACCAGAAUCUGACGUCUUUUUCUGACCAACAUGUGACCAU
This 1243-nucleotide long non-coding RNA is filed under the name Salmo salar (Atlantic salmon). RNAcentral describes it as "lncRNA (ENSSSAG00000097758.1)". The record is from RNAcentral. Lineage: Eukaryota; Metazoa; Chordata; Actinopteri; Salmoniformes; Salmonidae.